CGGACGGGUGAGUAACGCGUGAGAAUCUGCCCUCAGGAGGGGGAUAACGGUUGGAAACGACCGCUAAUACCCCAUAUGCCUACUGGUGAAAUGAAUUUCGCCUGAGGAUGAGCUCGCGUCUGAUUAGCUAGUUGGUGAGGUAAUGGCUCACCAAGGCUUCGAUCAGUAGCUGGUCUGAGAGGAUGAUCAGCCACACUGGGACUGAGACACGGCCCAGACCCCUACGGGAGGCAGCAGUGGGGAAUUUUCCGCAAUGGGCGAAAGCCUGACGGAGCAACGCCGCGUGAGGGACGAAGGCCUCUGGGCUGUAAACCUCUUUUCUCAAGGAAGAAGAUAUGACGGUACUUGAGGAAUAAGCCACGGCUAAUUCCGUGCCAGCAGCCGCGGUAAUACGGGAGUGGCAAGCGUUAUCCGGAAUUAUUGGGCGUAAAGCGUCCGCAGGCGGCUUUUCAAGUCUGCUGUUAAAGCGUGGAGCUUAACUCCAUCAUGGCAGUGGAAACUGAAAGGCUUGAGUAUGGUAGGGGCAGAGGGAAUUCCCGGUGUAGCGGUGAAAUGCGUAGAUAUCGGGAAGAACACCAGUGGCGAAGGCGCUCUGCUGGGCCAUCACUGACGCUCAUGGACGAAAGCCAGGGGAGCGAAUGGGAUUAGAUACCCCAGUAGUC
Molecule: ribosomal RNA, 662 nt
Filed under: uncultured marine microorganism
Description: bacterial SSU rRNA
Rfam family: Bacterial small subunit ribosomal RNA
Source: RNAcentral